Toxorhynchites rutilus septentrionalis is the source of this 1389-nucleotide long non-coding RNA. RefSeq lists it as uncharacterized. The transcript is spliced from 3 exons. The record is from RefSeq and is a predicted model, not a curated record. Lineage: Eukaryota; Metazoa; Arthropoda; Insecta; Diptera; Culicidae.
AGAUACUCUUUGGCGGUCUGCUAUUCGGUUGGAGAAACGCAUCGCUAUUGCCCUGUAUGCUUUCGGAUCGUCAGCGGAAUAUAGAACUAUUGGAAGUCUAUUCGGUGUAGGAAGAACAACUACGGGUGAACUGGUCAUUGAAAUCUGCAAUGCGGUUGUAGAUGUUGUGCAACACGAAGUGUUUGACGCAUACCCACCAACCUCGGAGAAGAUAUCAGAAAUAGUCGGUGGCUUCGAGAAACUGGGUUUCCACAAUUCUACGGUGCCAUUGAUGGAUGCCAUAUAGAAGUCAAAGUACCAAAAAAUGAGGCAACCGACUACUAUAACUUCAAAGGAUGGCAUUCGGUUAUUCUGUUUGCUGCGGUGGAUCAUCGUUACCGGUUCACAUAUAUCAACGUAGGAGUUGCUGGCCGUUCAAAUGAUUCAACUGUUUUUGAGAACUCCAAACUCAAAGUACACUGCACGAACGAGACAUUUAAAGCGCAUUCGAAACUAAUCGAAGGGGUUGUAGUACCGAUACUGUUGAUCGGCGAUUCGGCUUUCAGACUGUCAAACCAGGUGAUGAAGCCGUUUCUAUUUUCUGUAGAUCAGCCGGAGCAUGAAAAGUUAUUUAAUUAUCAUCUAUCAGCAUGCCGACGGGUUGUAGAGAAUGCUUUCGGCCAUCUGAAGGCCCGUUUCAGAAGAAUCGGGAAAGGUUUGGAGGUCGACCUAAAUAAUGUCAAUACAAUUAUCAAAACUUGCUGCAUUCUACAUAACCUAUGUAACAACCACAAUGACCAUAUUAACAAAAAAUGGAUGAUCCAGAUUCAAACCUUAAAUUCGAAGCAACAACCACAAAGAGGAUUGAUAGUAAGAAACGAAAACGCAUCAGCAUCCAGGAUUAGAAACGCACUGAUGGUACAUUUCGCGCGAUUAUUUGAAGAUCUUGUGCGAACUGGCCAUUUAUCUGGAGUCACCCGAUGCGCGACAACUGCCGCCACAACUUACCUCAAGAACGCUGCCUUCGCAAAUGUUGACUUCAUUCGGUUAUUGUCACCCACCACACGAACGAUGUGUAGCAACGAAGUGGACUGGUUGGGAACCGAACGGAAAACCGACGGUUGAGGGAAAAAAAGAGGGAACAAAAAAAUGAAGUUUACAUCAGCAAGCCGUGGAAUAAAGGUGACGUAUAAUUUUCAUCAAAACGAAUAUUGCAGAUUUUCUUCGUGAUUUUUUUUUUCUUGUAUGUCAUUUCAGUGUUUUGAAGACUAUUUCUCGAAGAAGUUGUGAAGUUAUUGGAGCCAUUUGUUUAGCGAGUGGAAUUCCCCGAAGAAGAUAUACGAAUUUUGAAUUUUCAAGUGUUUUUCGGUGUGUGUGAAGCUUCCCGCUGUAUUGAACCUUGGUGCAGGA